UCAGGUGGGGGAUAACCCCGGGAAACUGGGGAUAAUACCCCAUAGACCAGGGACGCUGGAAUGCCCCCUGGUCGAAAGGUCCGCCGCCUGAGGAUGGGUCUGCGGCCGAUUAGGUUGUUGUUGGGGUAACGGCCCAACAAGCCUUUGAUCGGUACGGGUUGUGAGAGCAAGAGCCCGGAGAUGGAUUCUGAGACACAAAUCCAGGCCCUACGGGGCGCAGCAGGCGCGAAAACUUUACAAUGCGAGAAAUCGUGAUAAGGGAACCCCGAGUGCCCGUAAAUUCGGGCUGUCCAUCAGCGUAAAAAACUGGUGAAGAAAGGGCCGGGCAAGACCGGUGCCAGCCGCCGCGGUAAUACCGGCGGCUCGAGUGGUGGCCACUAUUACUGGGCUUAAAGCGUCCGUAGCUGGAUUGUUAAGUCUCUUGGGAAAUCCGCCGGCUUAACCGGCGGGCGUUCAGGAGAAACUGGCAAUCUAGGGACCGGGAGAGGUGAGAGGUACUCCAGGGGUAGGAGUGAAAUCCUGUAAUCCUUGGGGGACCACCUGUGGCGAAGGCGUCUCACUAGAACGGCUCCGACAGUGAGGGACGAAAGCUGGGGGAGC
RNAcentral lists this ribosomal RNA (600 nucleotides) under uncultured Methanosarcina sp. RNAcentral describes it as "bacterial SSU rRNA". It matches the Rfam family "Archaeal small subunit ribosomal RNA", at positions 115 to 720 of the family's 1478-position model. The record is from RNAcentral. Lineage: Archaea; Methanobacteriati; Methanobacteriota; Methanomicrobia; Methanosarcinales; Methanosarcinaceae.